GUAGUCGUGGCCGAGUGGUUAAGGCGAUGGACUAGAAAUCCUGCCGACUACG
This 52-nucleotide transfer RNA is filed under the name Danio rerio (zebrafish). The record is from Rfam by way of RNAcentral. Lineage: Eukaryota; Metazoa; Chordata; Actinopteri; Cypriniformes; Danionidae.